GCUCCAAUAGCGUAUAUUAAAGUUGUUGCGGUUAAAAAGUUCGUAGUUGGAUUUCUGUGAAGGAUAACCGGUCCGCACUAUGUGCGUGUAUCUGUUUGUCCUUUGCAUCCUCGCGGAAUACGUCACUGUGCUUCACUGCAUGGGGCGGGCUUCGCGACUUUUUACUUUGAGGAAUUAGAGUGUUCACGGCAGCUCACGCC
Molecule: ribosomal RNA, 200 nt
Filed under: uncultured eukaryote
Lineage: Eukaryota
Description: partial 18S ribosomal RNA
Rfam family: Eukaryotic small subunit ribosomal RNA
Source: RNAcentral